AGGGGAUAGAGCCCUUAGGAAAGGGCUCACCAAGGCGACGAUCCGUAACUGGUCUGAGAGGAUGAUCAGUCACACUGGAACUGAGACACGGUCCAGACUCCUACGGGAGGCAGCAGUGGGGAAUAUUGGACAAUGGGCGAAAGCCUGAUCCAGCCAUGCCGCGUGUGUGAAGAAGGUCUUCGGAUUGUAAAGCACUUUAAGUUGGGAGGAAGGGUUGUAGAUUAAUACUCUGCAAUUUUGACGUUACCGACAGAAUAAGCACCGGCUAACUCUGUGCCAGCAGCCGCGGUAAUACAGAGGGUGCAAGCGUUAAUCGGAAUUACUGGGCGUAUAGCGCGCGUAGGUGGUUCGUUAAGUUGGAUGUGAAAUCCCCGGGCUCAACCUGGGAACUGCAUCCAAAACUGGCGAGCUAGAGUAUGGUAGAGGGUGGUGGAAUUUCCUGUGUAGCGGUGAAAUGCGUAGAUAUAGGAAGGAACACCAGUGCCCGGAAAGACAUUCCA
This 500-nucleotide ribosomal RNA is filed under the name uncultured Pseudomonas sp. Its description in RNAcentral is "bacterial SSU rRNA". It matches the Rfam family "Bacterial small subunit ribosomal RNA", at positions 235 to 727 of the family's 1533-position model. Lineage: Bacteria; Pseudomonadati; Pseudomonadota; Gammaproteobacteria; Pseudomonadales; Pseudomonadaceae. The record is from RNAcentral.